RNAcentral lists this long non-coding RNA (1005 nucleotides) under Homo sapiens (human). RNAcentral describes it as "non-protein coding lnc-DCUN1D1-1:5". Lineage: Eukaryota; Metazoa; Chordata; Mammalia; Primates; Hominidae. The record is from RNAcentral.
CUGGCGCGCCCCGCCGCCGUUCCGAGUUGGGGGGUUUCUGUGUUGUGGGUCCGGGAAGAAGCGAGCGUGGAAAGGUGCCGGGUUCUCGAACGCUGUUUCUGUCCACUGCCACCCUCCUCCCCGUUCUGGGAGUGGGAUUAAGUCGUGUCUGUGGGUCUGGCCAUCUCCGGAGUCUGCAGCUUGGGGCCGAUUCCUCGGUCUCUACCUCCUGUUGCAGGUCUUUUUCGGGCUCUGUGGCUUCUUUGGUUCACGCGUCUCCCGACACGCAUACGCACAGUCCUGAACGUAUGUGACUGAAAGUUAAUCCCCCCAGAAGUCCCAGUUUGGGUUCCAUCAAGCUGUAAGAGCUUUCGUCUCAACACAAGUCAGGCCUCUUCUUUAGCAAAUGGCUGAGACGGGGCUAGGGAAAUCUUGAUCACACCCAUUAAGUGAUUCGAAAGCGUUGCAAGUCCCCUGAGCCUGGUACAGCCUGGACCCGUGUUUCUAGGCGAAUGGAUGAGAUAUUCUGUCUUGCCGUGUGCUAAAUUGGACAGGUUCAGGGGAAGAUAAUUUGUAUAAAAAGGUAGUUCUUUACUGCUAACUGCCAAACUUCUGCAAUCAAAAACACCCGUAGCAGUAACUUGACCUAGGUUAAAAAAGUGUGUGGAUGACAAGCUCAGAAGGAAUAUACAAGCAACUGGAACAAGGCUUUGACUUAAAGAUCUUGGGCAGAUAAAGGAACUUCAACUUCAUCUUGUGCUUUGGGAGAGAUGGUGGAGCAAAGAGGGGAGGCCAGAGAGAUUUUGCGGCUUCUUCAGUUCAGCAUGUCAAAACACUAUACUUGGGAUGUUGAUUUCUGAGCCCCAACAAUACUGAUUUCCAGACCAGACUUUAGGCAAAGAAAGAACAGACUUCAAGCAAACUUUUCUCUACUGAAUAGGAUUAUAUAUUUUAUCACCUUGUGAAGAAUUUCAUCAGAAACAACAUCUCAUUGCAUAUUUGCAUCUUUUCUUGAAAAUUCCUCAA